Molecule: ribosomal RNA, 253 nt
Filed under: uncultured bacterium
Lineage: Bacteria
Description: partial 16S ribosomal RNA
Rfam family: Bacterial small subunit ribosomal RNA
Source: RNAcentral
AACGUAGGAGGCUAGCGUUAUCCGGAUUUACUGGGCGUAAAGCGCAUGCAGGUGGUUUUGUAAGUUGGAUGUGAAAGCUCCUGGCUUAACUGGGAGAGGUCGUUCAAAACUACAAGACUUGAGAUUGGUAGAGGAAAAUGGAAUUCCGGGUGUAGUGGUGAAAUGCGUAGAUAUCCGGAGGAACACCAGUGGCGAAAGCGGUUUUCUGGACCAAUUCUGACACUCAGAUGCGAAAGCUAAGGUAGCAAACGGG